GUGAGUAAUGUCUGGGAAACUGCCUGAUGGAGGGGGAUAACUACUGGAAACGGUAGCUAAUACCGCAUGACGUCUUCGGACCAAAGUGGGGGACCUUCGGGCCUCACGCCAUCAGAUGUGCCCAGAUGGGAUUAGCUAGUAGGUGGGGUAAUGGCUCACCUAGGCGACGAUCUCUAGCUGGUCUGAGAGGAUGACCAGCCACACUGGAACUGAGACACGGUCCAGACUCCUACGGGAGGCAGCAGUGGGGAAUAUUGCACAAUGGGCGCAAGCCUGAUGCAGCCAUGCCGCGUGUAUGAAGAAGGCCUUCGGGUUGUAAAGUACUUUCAGCGAGGAGGAAGGCAUUGUGGUUAAUAACCACAGUGAUUGACGUUACUCGCAGAAGAAGCACCGGCUAACUCCGUGCCAGCAGCCGCGGUAAUACGGAGGGUGCAAGCGUUAAUCGGAAUUACUGGGCGUAAAGCGCACGCAGGCGGUUGAUUAAGUCAGAUGUGAAAUCCCCGAGCUUAACUUGGGAACUGCAUUUGAAACUGGUCAGCUAGAGUCUUGUAGAGGGGGGUAGAAUUCCAGGUGUAGCGGUGAAAUGCGUAGAGAUCUGGAGGAAUACCGGUGGCGAAGG
RNAcentral lists this ribosomal RNA (619 nucleotides) under Hafnia sp. SB5. RNAcentral describes it as "bacterial SSU rRNA". It matches the Rfam family "Bacterial small subunit ribosomal RNA", at positions 106 to 721 of the family's 1533-position model. The record is from RNAcentral. Lineage: Bacteria; Pseudomonadati; Pseudomonadota; Gammaproteobacteria; Enterobacterales; Hafniaceae.